This 75-nucleotide transfer RNA is filed under the name Candidatus Andersenbacteria bacterium RIFCSPHIGHO2_02_FULL_46_16. Its description in RNAcentral is "tRNA-Gly". It matches the Rfam family "tRNA". Rfam says of the family: Transfer RNA (tRNA) molecules are approximately 80 nucleotides in length. Their secondary structure includes four short double-helical elements and three loops (D, anti-codon, and T loops). RNAcentral also lists the same sequence under 4 other names. The record is from RNAcentral. Lineage: Bacteria; Candidatus Anderseniibacteriota.
GCGGGUAUCGUAUAAUGGCUAUUACAACAGAUUUCCAAUCUGUGAACACGGGUUCGACUCCCGUUACCCGCUCCA